Molecule: ribosomal RNA, 231 nt
Filed under: Cercis canadensis
Lineage: Eukaryota; Viridiplantae; Streptophyta; Magnoliopsida; Fabales; Fabaceae
Source: RNAcentral
UCAAAGCCUCACAAACACGACGGCCCGCGAAUCUGUUAUGAUAUUGGGUGGCGGAAGGCACAUUUCUGCCCCGAGCCCCCCACGUCUGGAUGAGGCGCCUUGCCUGGUGCGUGCUCGUCCUGGCAAACAACGAAACCCCGGCGCCGGUCGCGCCAAGGAACUCUAACAUAACAGCGUGCCUGUCGGCCCGGGAACGGUCCUACAGGGUGCGUCGCGACAUUUGUAUCCAAA